Molecule: long non-coding RNA, 1084 nt
Organism: Canis lupus familiaris (dog)
Lineage: Eukaryota; Metazoa; Chordata; Mammalia; Carnivora; Canidae
Exons: 3
Source: RefSeq, a predicted model, not a curated record
UGUGCUUCUGGAUUAGAUCUGGGAUCAGAAAUGGAAAGAAACACAUUUGUAACUGAAUUCCCCUCACGAAGACAGACCCUGAAAUAAGUAUCCCAGUGCAAGGAGUCUAUUGGGAUGUGAUCCCAGUAAGCACUGAGAGGGAAGUGAGCACAUGUGACAGCAAAGGAAAGGAAGACAAUAAAAUGUGUGCUAAUCAAGCCAGUUAGCCAUGGUGGACAACUGGAACUCAAUCCUUCUGGGAACUCUGGGAGACAGGGAAGAAAAUUCCAGAGUUAUGUCAAUGGAGGGACCAUAAGCUGCAGUAUGUAGUUGAUCCUGGAACAACACAGGUUUGAACUAUAAUUGAGGACCGUCUUCACUUUGUCAAACUACUCCUGGAGGUGAGGCACACCCUUUGGUGCCUUCCAAAGUAGCAGUGAUUGUUACAAUGUCUCAAGCUCUUCUUAAGCAGGAGAUGGCUGGAUGCAGGAUCUGCAAGAGGAGAAUAAGAGCAAACCCAAUCACAGCUGGGCUAGAAAGUCGGCCGGCUAGAGAUCCUUUUGCACUUCACAGGCAGGAGGGUAUACUCUGCAAGCAAAGCCAACCCACAGCUGCUGGGCUGGAGCACAAUUGAUUUCCUUUGUGGAACUAGCCACAGAGAAAUCCUUCAUGUGUGCUCCCAGACUCAGUGGCAGUUUCAAGUUGAUGCGAAAUAAGUGCUGACACAUAACACAGAAGUGUUAGUUAGAACAUUUUGGAAUUUCAAAGCAUCACCUGAUGGGAGAGAGUGUAGGAAGCAGGAACUAACCAUCUUGCCUGAGAAAAUAGGGGUUGAAGAAGGGAAGAAGAUUUUUACAAAGUCAGUUACACAUCUUUUAACACACAGUAUUAUAAUUUUCCUCUUUAAUGCCUUUAUACCCGGGCAACUGAUCUGUCUUGUUCAUCAUCAGCAGGGUGACUGCCACAUAGUAGCUGCUCAGGAAAUAUUGUGGAUGAGAAGAGCUUCCUUCAAUUUGCUAUGGGAUGCUGACUACUUCGUGAAUCAAUAAAGCCAAUUAGAUUGAAAGAAAGAAAGAAAAAGAAAGAAAGAAAGAAAGAAAGAAAG